UGCAGCCAUGCCGCGUGUGUGAAGAAGGCCUUCGGGUUGUAAAGCACUUUCAGUUGUGAGGAAAAGUUAGUAGUUAAUACCUGCUAGCCGUGACGUUAACAACAGAAGAAGCACCGGCUAACUCCGUGCCAGCAGCCGCGGUAAUACGGAGGGUGCGAGCGUUAAUCGGAAUUACUGGGCGUAAAGCGCACGCAGGCGGUUUGUUAAGCUAGAUGUGAAAGCCCCGGGCUCAACCUGGGAUAGUCAUUUAGAACUGGCAGACUAGAGUCUUGGAGAGGGGAGUGGAAUUCCAGGUGUAGCGGUGAAAUGCGUAGAUAUCUGGAGGAACAUCAGUGGCGAAGGCGACUCCCUGGCCAAAGACUGACGCUCAUGUGCGAAAGUGUGGGUAGCGAACAGGAUUAGAUACCCUGGUAGUCCACACCGUAAACGCUGUCUACUAGCUGUUUGUGACUUUAAGUCGUGAGUAGCGAAGCUAACGCGCUAAGUAGACCGCCUGGGGAGUACGGCCGCAAGGUUAAAACUCAAAUGAAUUGACGGGGGCCCGCACAAGCGGUGGAGCAUGUGGUUUAAUUCGAUGCAACGCGAAGAACCUUACCUACACUUGACAUGCUGAGAACUUUCUAGAGAUGGAUUGGUGCCUUCGGGAACUCAGACACAGGUGCUGCAUGGCUGUCGUCAGCUCGUG
This 685-nucleotide ribosomal RNA is filed under the name Alteromonas sp. SDBC16. RNAcentral describes it as "bacterial SSU rRNA". It matches the Rfam family "Bacterial small subunit ribosomal RNA", at positions 387 to 1064 of the family's 1533-position model. Lineage: Bacteria; Pseudomonadati; Pseudomonadota; Gammaproteobacteria; Alteromonadales; Alteromonadaceae. The record is from RNAcentral.